ACACAUGCAAGUCGAACGUGAUUUUUGUGGAAAUCUUUCGGGAAUGGAAAUGAAAUGAAAGUGGCGAACGGGUGAGUAACACGUGAGCAACCUACCUUACACAGGGGGAUAGCCGUUGGAAACGACGAUUAAUACCGCAUGAGACCACAGAAUCGCAUGAUAUAGGGGUCAAAGAUUUAUCGGUGUAAGAAGGGCUCGCGUCUGAUUAGCUAGUUGGAAGGGUAAAGGCCUACCAAGGCGACGAUCAGUAGCCGGUCUGAGAGGAUGAACGGCCACAUUGGAACUGAGACACGGUCCAAACUCCUACGGGAGGCAGCAGUGGGGAAUAUUGCACAAUGGGGGGAACCCUGAUGCAGCGACGCCGCGUGAGCGAAGAAGGUUUUCGAAUCGUAAAGCUCUGUCCUAUGAGAAGAUAAUGACGGUAUCAUAGGAGGAAGCCCCGGCUAAAUACGUGCCAGCAGCCGCGGUAAUACGUAUGGGGCGAGCGUUGUCCGGAAUUAUUGGGCGUAAAGGGUACGUAGGCGGUUUUUUAAGUCAGGUGUGAAAGCGUGAGGCUUAACCUCAUUAAGCACUUGAAACUGGAAGACUUGAGUGAAGGAGAGGAAAGUGGAAUUCCUAGUGUAGCGGUGAUAUGCGUAGAUAUUAGGAGGAAUACCGGUGGCGAAGGCGACUUUCUGGACUUUUACUGACGCUCAGG
RNAcentral lists this ribosomal RNA (697 nucleotides) under uncultured Clostridium sp. Its description in RNAcentral is "bacterial SSU rRNA". It matches the Rfam family "Bacterial small subunit ribosomal RNA", at positions 51 to 751 of the family's 1533-position model. Lineage: Bacteria; Bacillati; Bacillota; Clostridia; Eubacteriales; Clostridiaceae. The record is from RNAcentral.